AAGUCGCCUCGGGCCCACAACGGUGUCGGCUCGGAUUUGGACGUUUGCCGUAGUGGCUCGUCUUGAAAUGCAUUAGCUGCCUGCCGCAGACCGAAUGGCCGGGUGUAAUAAGUCGCAUCUUUCACCCCUCGGGACGUGUGCGUGCGUGCGCGUGGCUCACAAACGAAAUCUCUUGA
Molecule: unclassified non-coding RNA, 176 nt
Filed under: uncultured Agaricomycetes
Lineage: Eukaryota; Fungi; Basidiomycota; Agaricomycetes
Description: sequence contains ITS2
Source: RNAcentral